Molecule: ribosomal RNA, 760 nt
Filed under: uncultured bacterium
Lineage: Bacteria
Description: bacterial SSU rRNA
Rfam family: Bacterial small subunit ribosomal RNA
Source: RNAcentral
AGAGUUUGAUCAUGGCUCAGGAUGAACGCUGGCGGCGUGCCUAACACAUGCAAGUCGAGCGAUUCUCUUCGGAGAAGAGCGGCGGACGGGUGAGUAACGCGUGGGUAACCUGCCCUGUACACACGGAUAACAUACCGAAAGGUAUGCUAAUACGGGAUAACAUAUGAAAGUCGCAUGACUUUUAUAUCAAAGCUCCGGCGGUACAGGAUGGACCCGCGUCUGAUUAGCUAGUUGGUGAGGUAAUGGCUCACCAAGGCGACGAUCAGUAGCCGACCUGAGAGGGUGAUCGGCCACACUGGAACUGAGACACGGUCCAGACUCCUACGGGAGGCAGCAGUGGGGAAUAUUGCACAAUGGGCGAAAGCCUGAUGCAGCAACGCCGCGUGAGCGAUGAAGGCCUUCGGGUCGUAAAGCUCUGUCCUCAAGGAAGAUAAUGACGGUACUUGAGGAGGAAGCCCCGGCUAACUACGUGCCAGCAGCCGCGGUAAUACGUAGGGGGCUAGCGUUAUCCGGAAUUACUGGGCGUAAAGGGUGCGUAGGUGGUUUUUUAAGUCAGAAGUGAAAGGCUACGGCUCAACCGUAGUAAGCUUUUGAAACUGAAGAACUUGAGUGCAGGAGGGGAGAGUAGAAUUCCUAGUGUAGCGGUGAAAUGCGUAGAUAUUAGGAGGAAUACCAGUAGCGAAGGCGGCUCUCUGGACUGUAACUGACACUGAGGCACGAAAGCGUGGGGAGCAAACAGGAUUAGAUACCCUAGUAGUCC